Crotalus tigris (Tiger rattlesnake) is the source of this 1043-nucleotide long non-coding RNA. RefSeq lists it as uncharacterized. The record is from RefSeq and is a predicted model, not a curated record. The transcript has 3 exons. NCBI's taxonomy places the organism in Eukaryota, Metazoa, Chordata, Lepidosauria, Squamata, Viperidae.
CAGGUCCAUGUGAUUUAUGCUCAAAUGCUUUGGCAGAGAAUUAAACGACGCAGCUGCAGUCCGAAGUACAUUUGUUAAAAAAUGGACGAUCGAUCGCCUUUUCCCCACUGGCAGCUAACCCUGGCCCGUUCCGGUGUGGGUCUGGCAUAUUGUGUAGUGGGGGAGAUUAGCUGUUUCUGAUCCGACUGGGUUGCGAGUUUCCCCGCCAAGCGAGGCCUCAACCCCGGAAAUGACUAGGCACCAGGGGAUUGUGGAUCCAGUUCUUUUUGUAGAAGACCUCUUCCCUAUCCUCGACGCUCGCGUGGGAAUGGAAGACCGGGAGGGCGUCAAACUCGACGGGAAAAUGCGCCAGCUUUCACGCAUAACUGCUAGCGUCGUGGAAACGGGAACCUUGCCGGACACAAAAAGGCUUCUGGCUGAGUGAGGAUGCGUGGGCUUGGAGGAGAUUGAUCUUGUUAUCUUUGCUUUUGGUGUGCAUGCACAAGUGUGUGUGUAUAUACACACACACACUUCUUCUCCAACUUGAAGUGAUUCUGGACAGCUGACAAUUGGAUAGAAGCAGAAAAAUCAAAGAAAUUUAAAAAAAUGAAACUCAGGACCCAGAAUCAACAAAAGGAAUCACACAAUAACAAAAUGAAUGGAAUAAUUAAGGUUAAUCGUUUUGAUGAUCCAUCAAAAAUAUUUCAUUCUGAAUGGGUGAAUCUUACUCUGUGGUCCAGAAUCUGGGGGAAGAAUUGGGCUUUUAGGGCCUUUUGGAAGACCGUGAAUGUUAGGACCAUCCAAACCUUGGGGAUGCUCUAGUGCAGAGAUCCCCACUUUAUGACUUGUGGACCUCAACUCCCAGAAUUCCUUAGCCAGCCAUGAAAUAAAGGCAUUUUUUAAAUAUUUCAAUCCCGUCCUCCACUUCUGCCAUUAUGAUAGCAUAGAUAGAUGUUCUAUCUAUCUCAGCGGUUCUCAAUCUGUGGGUCGCGACCCCAUUUGGGGUCGAACGACCAUUUCUCGGGGGUCGCCAAACAACGCAGUCCGCCAUUUUUCCCCCUUUU